This is a small nucleolar RNA of Talpa occidentalis (Iberian mole), 125 nucleotides long. RefSeq annotates it as small nucleolar RNA SNORD94. The transcript has a single exon. NCBI's taxonomy places the organism in Eukaryota, Metazoa, Chordata, Mammalia, Eulipotyphla, Talpidae. The record is from RefSeq and is a predicted model, not a curated record.
GAUAUUUUGGGGUAAGGCACAGGGGUCCAGCCCUCAGCUGAGUCAUGGGAACUGAGUGUUUCUUUGUUCUGCCUGCGGCAGGUUGGUGGUGAGCGCUUACAUGAGGCAGGAUAUGUGCUUGUGUC